RNAcentral lists this ribosomal RNA (772 nucleotides) under uncultured bacterium. RNAcentral's name for it is "bacterial SSU rRNA". It matches the Rfam family "Bacterial small subunit ribosomal RNA", at positions 31 to 775 of the family's 1533-position model. The record is from RNAcentral.
GAACGCUGGCGGCGUGCCUAACACAUGCAAGUCGUACGAGAAAUCCCGAGCUUGCUUGGGAGAGUAAAGUGGCGCACGGGUGAGUAACGCGUGGGUAACCCACCUUCGAAUCUGGGAUAACUCCGCGAAAGCGGUGCUAAUACCGGAUAAGACCACAGCCGUUUCGGCGGCAGAGGUAAAAGCUGACCUCUCCAUGGAAGUUAGCGUUCGAGGACGGGCCCGCGUCCUAUCAGCUUGUUGGUGGGGUAAAGGCCUACCAAGGCAGCGACGGGUAGCUGGUCUGAGAGGAUGAUCAGCCACACUGGAACUGGAACACGGUCCAGACUCCUACGGGAGGCAGCAGUGAGGAAUUUUGCGCAAUGGGCGAAAGCCUGACGCAGCAACGCCGCGUGGGUGAAGAAGGCUUUCGGGUCGUAAAGCCCUGUCAGGUGGGAAGAACCGUUUCGAUACUAAUAAUGUCGAAGCCUGACGGUACCACCAGAGGAAGCACCGGCCAACUCCGUGCCAGCAGCCGCGGUAAUACGGAGGGUGCAAGCGUUGUUCGGAAUUAUUGGGCGUAAAGAGCGUGUAGGCGGUCCGGUAAGUCAGAUGUGAAAGCCCUGGGCUCAACCCAGGAAGUGCAUUUGAAACUACCAGACUUGAGUACGGGAGAGGAGGGGGGAAUUCCCGGUGUAGAGGUGAAAUUCGUAGAUAUCGGGAGGAAUACCAGUGGCGAAGGCGCCCCUCUGGACCGAUACUGACGCUGAGACGCGAAAGCGUGGGGAGCAAACAG